This 373-nucleotide ribosomal RNA is filed under the name uncultured bacterium. Its description in RNAcentral is "bacterial SSU rRNA". It matches the Rfam family "Bacterial small subunit ribosomal RNA", at positions 527 to 898 of the family's 1533-position model. The record is from RNAcentral.
GUAGGGGGCUAGCGUUGUCCGGAUUUAUUGGGCGUAAAGAGCGCGUAGGCGGCCGAGUAAGUCCGACGUGAAAUCUGGAGGCUUAACCUCCAGCGGUCGUUGGAAACUACCCGGCUAGAGUCCGGAAGAGGAGAGUGGAAUUCCUGGUGUAGCGGUGAAAUGCGCAGAUAUCAGGAAGAACACCGAUGGCGAAAGCAGCUCUCUGGGACGGUACUGACGCUGAGGCGCGAAAGCGUGGGGAGCGAACAGGAUUAGAUACCCUGGUAGUCCACGCCGUAAACGAUGGGUGCUAGGUGUGGGCGGUGUCGACUCCGCCCGUGCCGCAGCUAACGCAUUAAGCACCCCGCCUGGGGAGUACGGCCGCAAGGCUAAA